Long non-coding RNA from Magallana angulata, 2674 nucleotides. RefSeq lists it as uncharacterized. The record is from RefSeq and is a predicted model, not a curated record. The transcript is spliced from 3 exons. NCBI's taxonomy places the organism in Eukaryota, Metazoa, Mollusca, Bivalvia, Ostreida, Ostreidae.
CGGGCACUUGAUAGCUCAGUUGAUAGCUAGCAUCUGACAAGAGAUUCAGGGGGUCAGGGUUGGAAUCCUAGAUGCAGAAAAUGUGCACAAAACAUCUACAAGUGUUCACAGUGACACUGUAUUGAGCUAGUAACCUUACUUAUAUUGUACAUGUACUUAGAAAACACCUAGAUGUGUUACACCAAUUAGCUAGAUAAUCCAAUAAAUAUUUUAAAUUUGCAGUGUAACAUUGGCUGAGAAAAAGAAAAUGGUCUUGGUGACAAAAAAGAAAACGUUGGGCCCAUGCAGCUUUACAGAAUGAGGAGGUUCAGAUGUGGAUAAGGAUAUUCUGCCAUGCUUCACAUCAAAAGAAGAUGCCAUGCCUCAUUUUGCAGUGUCCAAAGGUCCAAGGUUGAUAGCGCAAGGUCAUCAAUGAUGCUGGGGGAAGCUGGAAAGCCAGAAGAAAAUCCACAUGUCCAAGUGAAUGACUAAGAUACCCUUUCACACACAGCCACUGUCGAUCACAGGGAUCCAACUUGGAUGAGCUUCUUGGUACGCUAAUCGUUGACAUUUGAGGAACCUUCCCAAGCAAGAGUACACCUGUAGUGUGUGUUUAGAUAAUACAAUGUAUAAAGAAUAAGUAAAAAUGUUGUUAAUCAUACUAAGAUUAUCAUGCUAUUUCUUAUGAGAGUUCAUUGUCCAUCAGAUUGUGAAAGAUGUAUAAUACAAAUCCCAAUGGAUUUAUAGACUACUCAAUUAUUGAUAGAGUGUAAAAUGCAAGAUUUGAUAUUUUCUUAAAGAUAUUGAUUAGUUAAUUAUCUAGCAUUAACAAACUUUAGAAGAAGGUUUAAAAGUGGAUGUAAAUGCAUACUUUGAUCUGCAUUUUAAGUUUUUGGGUUUUUUUUUUUUAAUUUCAACUCCUGACAGUGUAUAUAUAUACUUAUUCUACAAUGACUUUUCCAUAUAUGCAUUUAACACAGUCAGUUAUAGAAAGCAAUGUUUUUAUUAGUCCCCUACCGGUUUUCACCGGAGGGGACUAUAGUUUUCUUCUGCGUCCGUCAGUCCGUCUGUCUGUCCAUCCGUCUGUCUGUCCCACUUCAGUUUUCAACACUUUUUUUCUCUAUGCGUUUGAGGAAUAAUAUGAAAUUUGCUGAACAGCUUCAAAAUGUCAAACUAAAGAUCAAGUUUACACUUUUGUAGUGUUUGGUUGACAUAUAAUUCGAGAAAAUUUAUUUUUUAUAUUCAAAUUUUUUAAUGUUCGGUUCGAUAUUCUGCAUAACAGUGCAUUAUAUUAAUUGUUUUCACAAUUUCCACAAACCGGUAGGGGACGUGUAUUGCUUAUGCAAUACUCUCAGAAUGCUUGUUUUUCAUGUUCAGGUUGAUAAUUGUAUUGCUAUAUGAUUUGUAGAUUUAACUUUAUACAAUUGGUCUGCAUUAUUUCUUUCAUGUGAAAAUACAUGUACAUGUCAUUUACAAUAUGUAUAAACUUAAUGCAUUAUCUGUGCUGUUUAUAUUUUUAUGGCAUGCUUUUACUUAUUGAGUUCAAUAUGAAGGACUGUAUGUAAGGUAUCUUUAACAUGUUUAAUAGCAAUGUUUGGGAAGAUUUUUGUUUUGUAUGCUGAUCAUUUGUUCUUUUUAUUUGCAAACUCUAAUUUUGCCUAUUUCUUAAAAUAAUUUUAAAAAAGCCCUAAUGAGAAAAUUACAUGUGGAAUCAGACAAGAAGAUCUGACAUAUAGCUUCUUUUCAUGUAUCAUACAUCUAUUUCACAAACAAAAAUCAUAAUUUUUAUUAUUUAGGAGUUUAUGGAAAACUCUUUUAUGUAUCACAGCUUCUUUAAAAAUCUGUUAUACACUGUACUUACAAAAAAUAUCCAGAGUAACUUAGAGAAAAGUAUUUAUUUACUAUUUCACCCUUUUUGAUAAUUGAAUCUUGGAGUUGUGCAUGUAAUUUAUGUGUUAGAGAUAAGUCCUCCUUUGUUAUAUUUCUUCAUAUUUUACAAUCAUCUUGCUUGUUUUACAUGCAUGUAAUGUGUUAUAUUCUGAUCUUUUACAUGGACUAUACAACACUAGAAAAAGAUAUGAUAUUUAUAUUGAUGGACUGUAUUGCUGUGCUUUUUUUUUUUGCAAACCAUUAUAUUGAUAAGUUAUGAAUUACAUGUAUUAUUAUUAUGUGUGUUACUAUAUUAACAAAGCUGAAUGGAAUUAUUUUUUGAUUUAUUAUAACUUUUGGGUUUAGAUUUAUAACCAAUAUUGAAAGUUUUGUAUGUAUUACUGAGGCCACACCAAUAUACCCGGUAAUUUCUUGUUCAUCAGACAUCCAAUAAAAAGAGGUACAAGCUGGUGAGCGAUUGCUUGAUAAAAUUAUAAUUUUUUUGUAGCCAACAUAUUUGGGCAGUACAUAAAUCAAUUUGUGCUGGCGAUUAUAUUUUUUCUUCUUGUUCUUGAUAUAUGAAUAAAAAUGAUUUAAAACACAAAAAAAUAAGGCAGAUUUAGAACAGAAAACAGUGCAGAAUUUCCUGGAUGCGGGAAAUUAUAAUGAUAUUAUUUUUAAAUUAGUUUUUAUUUAAAUACGAUCAUGUGGGUCAAACAAACAAAAAAAUUAUAUUGGUGUGGCCUAACAUGACUUCUUAAUUUAAAGAAUUAAUUAGUUUACAUAGACUGUGCUUAUAAUGAAAUAUGUAUCAUAAACACUAAUA